UUUUGAUGCAUCAGAAAAGAAAAUACAUUUAUAUCUAUUAACUAGAAGGGGCAGAACUGGGAUUAUAAAUAACUUUGAAGCAUGGACUAAAUGAAACUACUGUUCAUUAAUGAGGUCUUAUCUUACUUCGGAGUACAAUAUAUUUUGUGGAAACUUAAUGUAGAGCAGAUCGACCUCUGAUUGGAAGAUCUCUGGUUCGCUUCCUGUUCUGCUCAUGUGUUUGAAGUGUCCUUGGUCAAGACACUAAACCCCAAACUGCUUCUGGUGGUUAUAGGUUGGCGCCAUCUAUGUGUGAAUAUAUGUGUGUGCUCAAGACUGACCGUAAAGCGCUUUGGCCUUUCUAAGGAGGUAGUAAACUGCAAUAUAAAGAUACGCUUUUUUUUUUUUUUUUUUACAUUUUUGUCAUGGAUCACUUGUUCCCAGCAUCCUUUUUCUAAAGUCAAUGAAAGUGAAAAAAUAUUUUAUCCUUAAACUUGACCCCUUCUAACAGAAUAACAUUUUACUACUGUGACAUUAACUGUAGAGUAAAUGAAAGCUGUUUACUCUGCUGUUGAGACCUUCACAGGAUGUUCUUGUGCUGCUGAUAUUUUUUCAGUUAUUUUGUAAUUGCACCUUUAAUAAGACUAGCAUCAUCUUA
Molecule: long non-coding RNA, 637 nt
Organism: Oryzias melastigma (Indian medaka)
Lineage: Eukaryota; Metazoa; Chordata; Actinopteri; Beloniformes; Adrianichthyidae
Exons: 2
Source: RefSeq, a predicted model, not a curated record